UUAAUUGGAAUAUUUCUCAUGUCAUAUCUUUGAACUAAUUAAGUCCUGAACCAUAUAGGCUCUCUCACAAGCACAACAAUAGGCUUAUAUAUCGUAUGCAUGCGUUCAUUUCAGUGGGCAGAGUUUGUAGCUUCCUUUCUAAAGGAAGCAGAAUGGUUGCACAGCGAACGCAUUCCGACCUACGAAGAAUACAUGCAAUGCGCCAAGGACACUAUUGGAACGAAAAUGGUAACAGGGACAUCUGCAUUCUUUCUGGGAGAGAAGAUCACAGAUGAGAUGCUCCGCCACAUUGGUCCUGACUCACGCUUCAUGCACCUCGUUUCCGUCGUAUGCCGACUUUCCAAUGAUCUUGCCUCCUCUUCGAGGGAGCUCGAGGAGGGAAAGGUGGCCACAGGGGUUGGCUGCUACAUGAGGGACCACCCAGGCUGCACGCAGGUGGAAGCCAUGGUAGGUCUCACCAGUGUGAUUGAGUUGGCCUGUCAGGAACUGGAGUGGGAGCUCUAUCGAUCAAGAGCAGUAGCGCCGGAGUUCUGUAGCCGUGCAGUCCUGGGUAAUGCUCGAGGUGCCCGUCUUCUUUACAGAAGGGUGGAUGGCUAUACCAAUCCUGACGAAGAACUCAUGAAACUCUCCCAAGAUUUUAUGUUUAACCCACUUGAAUGAAGGCUGAUUGAGCUAGCAGCGAAGCAAUGAAUUCAACGGUCUGCACACUGGUCAUCUAUCUGUCUGUUUCCCUCUCGCACCGUCUACAAAACAAUUUGAACUUGUAAGCAAAUUAAUUUGUGCCUUAUGUUAGCAUAAUUUUAGAAACUAUGUAACAAUCUGCAUCACCCAUAAUAUUUUUUUCUAUUAGCAUAAUCACAUAUCGAUCUAUAUUAUUUUUCUUAUAUGGAGUAUGUAUACUAGUAUAUAUAACUCCUGAGAUGUAUUGAAUAUGAUGGAACAGAGAAAUAAAAUUAUCUUUUUUCUUUUAUUUUUCUCUUCUUCUGUAAAUAUUUUAACAUAGUAAAUAUUUUUCUCUUAUUUCCUCUUGAUAUAUCAAUCUACAAUAUCGGUUUUUGAGUUAUUAUGUCAACUCCUAACCUGCUACAUAUGCUUCUAAGCUACUAUUACAGUUCUUAAUCUACCACGUCUAAAGCUGCAAAUAGAUCAGCUCGACUCGUGACCCGACACAACCCAAUCCAAUCAGACCCAACUCGAUCCGAUCCGUUUUAGAGGAUCCAUGGGUCCAGAUUUGGUCCUAAAAUUAGACCUGUUCUGCUCUUUGGAUCGGAUCUCGGACAAUCUAAUCUCAACCUGACCCGGACUCGGCCUGAUCCGAUUUUUUUUUUUUGGAUCAAUUUGGAUCGUUUACCCAACGACCCCAUCCAUACCCAACCCGAACCUGGAAUACCCAAUCUCUCUCUCUCUCUCUCUCUCUCUGUGUGUCUCUCUCUGUCUGUCUGUGAUCCCAAUGCACUUGUCCAGCCUCAGCUCCCUCAGCCUACCGGCGGCCGAAACAGUGCCACCUCCCAGUCCCCGAUGUCGAAGCGGUGCGAGAGGUCCACCACCUCCAACUAUGGGCACGCCACCACCAGCGCCUCCAGCCCCCGCCACCCGAUCCCCAUGGCCCCGGCAAGGCACAUUGCUUUCAACCCCUGGCGACCACCAGCGGUGUGGAGGAGGCGUCAUCGAGGGCAGAGCAGGCGGAGAGGUCUAGGGAUUCGAGAGCAGAGCAGGAGUGCAAGAGGGAAGGGAGGGACUCCCGGCGGAGGACGCGGAGGGCGCGGCGGUGGAGCGCCUCCACGCGGAGGAAACUGCGGGAGACGAGGCGUAAAGACUUCCGGUCUCCGGAGUCCGGCAGCCGGUCCAUGAUCUGGACCAAGAGGUCCACGGAUAGUACGGCCAGGAUCGAAUUAGGGGGCUUUUCUUUUCCUUCUCUUUCUUCUCUAUUUCUUUUCUUCUCUUCCCCUUUCUCCAGAAACUUCUCUUCCUCCCUUUCCCCACUUCUG
This 1988-nucleotide long non-coding RNA is filed under the name Phoenix dactylifera (date palm). RNAcentral describes it as "long non-coding RNA (PDAC_LNC013325)". The record is from RNAcentral. Lineage: Eukaryota; Viridiplantae; Streptophyta; Magnoliopsida; Arecales; Arecaceae.